UACGGGAGGCAGCAGUGGGGAAUAUUGCACAAUGGGCGCAAGCCUGAUGCAGCCAUGCCGCGUGUAUGAAGAAGGCCUUCGGGUUGUAAAGUACUUUCAGUCGUGAGGAAGGUGUUAAGGUUAAUAACCUUAGCAAUUGACGUUAGCGACAGAAGAAGCACCGGCUAACUCCGUGCCAGCAGCCGCGGUAAUACGGAGGGUGCGAGCGUUAAUCGGAAUUACUGGGCGUAAAGGGCACGCAGGCGGUUAAUUAAGUUGGAUGUGAAAUCCCCGGGCUUAACCUGGGAAUGGCAUUCAAGCUGGUUAGCUAGAGUCUUGUAGAGGGGGUAGAAUUCCAUGUGUAGCGGUGAAAUGCGUAGAGAUGUGGAGGAAUACCGGUGGCGAAGGCGGCCCCUGGACAAAGGACUGACGCUCAUGUGCGAAAGCGUGGGGAGCAAACAGGGAUUUAGAUACC
Molecule: ribosomal RNA, 454 nt
Filed under: uncultured bacterium
Lineage: Bacteria
Description: bacterial SSU rRNA
Rfam family: Bacterial small subunit ribosomal RNA
Source: RNAcentral